AUACUAACCUUGCAUCUGGGUUAACCAUGAUCAGGAAGGUGGUUCCCUCGGAGUGAGACUUGAUAGUUGAUCUCUGUGAAUAUCCCAAGUCGGGACGUUCAGGUGCAAAAUUUUUGUUUCCGGGAUUGCGUUCGCGCUCUCCCCGU
Molecule: non-coding RNA, 146 nt
Organism: Rhodnius prolixus
Lineage: Eukaryota; Metazoa; Arthropoda; Insecta; Hemiptera; Reduviidae
Source: Rfam